AGAGUUUGAUCAUGGCUCAGGAUGAACGCUGGCGGCGUGCCUAACACAUGCAAGUCGAGCGAUUCUCUUCGGAGAAGAGCGGCGGACGGGUGAGCAACGCGUGGGUAACCUGCCCUGUACACACGGAUAACAUACCGAAAGGUAUGCUAAUACGAGAUAAUAUACUUUUAUCGCAUGGUAGAAGUAUCAAAGCUCCGGCGGUACAGGAUGGACCCGCGUCUGAUUAGCUAGUUGGUAAGGUAACGGCUUACCAAGGCGACGAUCAGUAGCCGACCUGAGAGGGUGAUCGGCCACAUUGGAACUGAGACACGGUCCAAACUCCUACGGGGGGCAGCAGUGGGGAAUAUUGCACAAUGGGCGAAAGCCUGAUGCAGCAACGCCGCGUGAGCGAUGAAGGCCUUCGGGUCGUAAAGCUCUGUCCUCAAGGAAGAUAAUGACGGUACUUGAGGAGGAAGCCCCGGCUAACUACGUGCCAGCAGCCGCGGUAAUACGUAGGGGGCUAGCGUUAUCCGGAAUUACUGGGCGUAAAGGGUGCGUAGGUGGUUUCUUAAGUCAGAGGUGAAAGGCUACGGCUCAACCGUAGUAAGCCUUUGAAACUGGGAAACUUGAGUGCAGGAGAGGAGAGUGGAAUUCCUAGUGUAGCGGUGAAAUGCGUAGAUAUUAGGAGGAACACCAGUUGCGAAGGCGGCUCUCUGGACUGUAACUGACACUGAGGCACGAAAGCGUGGGGAGCAAACAGGAUUAGAUACCCUGGUAGUCCACGCCGUAAACGAUGAGUACUAGCUGUCGGAGGUUACCCCCUUCGGUGGCGCAGCU
RNAcentral lists this ribosomal RNA (816 nucleotides) under uncultured bacterium. RNAcentral describes it as "bacterial SSU rRNA". It matches the Rfam family "Bacterial small subunit ribosomal RNA", at positions 8 to 853 of the family's 1533-position model. The record is from RNAcentral.